This 250-nucleotide unclassified non-coding RNA is filed under the name Basidiomycota sp. RNAcentral's name for it is "partial contains small subunit ribosomal RNA, internal transcribed spacer 1, and 5.8S ribosomal RNA". The stretch from base 1 to 47 matches the Rfam family "Eukaryotic small subunit ribosomal RNA", at positions 1785 to 1831 of the family's 1831-position model. The record is from RNAcentral. Lineage: Eukaryota; Fungi; Basidiomycota.
AAAGUCGUAACAAGGUUUUCGUAGGUGAACCUGCGGAAGGAUCAUUAGUGAAACAUUAGAGUGCUCUUUAUUGAGGCUCGUUUAACUAUCCAUUACACUUAGUGCACUUGAAACAAACCUUUCAAAAUUCUUGCUUUCGGGCUUGAACUUUGGUUGGAUUACACACAACCCCUUUGAAAUUAUAAGAGAUGAUGAUGUAUAACCUUGAAAUAUGAAAGAACAACUUUCAGCAACGGAUUUCUUGGCUCUC